This is a long non-coding RNA of Melanotaenia boesemani (Boeseman's rainbowfish), 167 nucleotides long. RefSeq lists it as uncharacterized. The transcript has 2 exons. NCBI's taxonomy places the organism in Eukaryota, Metazoa, Chordata, Actinopteri, Atheriniformes, Melanotaeniidae. The record is from RefSeq and is a predicted model, not a curated record.
ACCCAGCAGUUAUCCACCCACUCCAGUGGACUCCCCGUCCGGCUUCCCGGGUUCUGCCUGUACGAUCUCACCAAACUGCACUACAGCACCCGAAGAGCUGACCGAACGAGACCGGAUAGAUCACCAGUGCACAUUUACAUUGUUCAAAUAAAUUCCUUUUUACCUUU